This 460-nucleotide ribosomal RNA is filed under the name uncultured bacterium. RNAcentral describes it as "partial 16S ribosomal RNA". It matches the Rfam family "Bacterial small subunit ribosomal RNA", at positions 338 to 795 of the family's 1533-position model. The record is from RNAcentral.
CCUACGGGAGGCAGCAGUGAGGAAUAUUGGUCAAUGGGCUUACGCCUGAACCAGCCAAGUCGCGUGAGGGAAGACUGCCCUAUGGGUUGUAAACCUCUUUUGUCAGGGAGCAAUUGGCGCUACGUGUAGCGUUAUCGAGAGUACCUGAAGAAAAAGCAUCGGCUAACUCUGUGCAAGCAGCCGCGGUAAUACGGGGGAUGCGAGCGUUAUCCGGAUUUUUUGGGUUUAAAGGGUCCGUACGCGGAAUGCACAGCCAGCGGUAAAAUCUCGGGGCUAAACCUCGCUCCGCUGUUGAAACUGGCUGUCUUGAGUGGACGAGAGGUAUGCGGAAUGCGUGGUGGAGCGGUGAAAUGCAUAGAUAUCACGCAGAACUCCGAUUGCGAAGGCAGCAUACCGGCGCCCAACUGACGCUGAAGCACGAAAGCGUGGGUAUCGAACAGGAUUAGAUACCCUUGUAGUC